AAAUUUGUGUACCUGAACCUAGGUAGUUUUCUCCCUCUUUAAGCUUUUUCGUUUUAUCUUUAAUCCAUUGGUGUGCUGAAAUCCAUAGGCUUGUUGUUGUUUUGUGAGGAUACCUUGAUUUACUGCUCAUUUCAUAUGCGUUGAGUGUUGUUGAUAGUGUGAUGUGUGGUUGUUUAGAGAUCGUUUUUUAUUUAGAAUUUUGAUUUUUGGGUAUGUUUGAUCUCCGUUUUGGUUAGGUUUUGG
This 243-nucleotide long non-coding RNA is filed under the name Lathyrus oleraceus (garden pea). RNAcentral's name for it is "Pisum sativum (pea) long non-coding RNA (PSAT_LNC030827)". The record is from RNAcentral. Lineage: Eukaryota; Viridiplantae; Streptophyta; Magnoliopsida; Fabales; Fabaceae.